CCUACGGGAGGCAGCAGUAAGGAAUAUUGGGCAAUGGACGCAAGUCUGACCCAGCCAUGCCGCGUGGAGGAUGAAGGUCCUCUGGAUUGUAAACUUCUUUUCUCUGGGGCGAAAAACAGGUUUUCUAACUUGCUUGACAGUACCAGAGGAAUAAGCACCGGCUAACUCCGUGCCAGCAGCCGCGGUAAUACGGAGGGUGCAAGCGUUAUCCGGAUUCACUGGGUUUAAAGGGUGCGUAGGUGGGUUGGUAAGUCAGUGGUGAAAUCUCCGGGCUUAACCUGGAAACUGCCAUUGAUACUAUCAAUCUUGAAUACCUUGGAGGUGAGCGGAAUAUGUCAUGUAGCGGUGAAAUGCUUAGAUAUGACAUAGAACGCCAAUUGCGAAGGCAGCUCACUACACGGUCAUUGACACUGAGGCACGAAAGCGUGGGGAUCAAACAGGAUUAGAUACCCUGGUAGUCCACGCCCUAAACGAUGGAUACUCGACAUCAGCGAUACACUGUUGGUGUCUGAGCGAAAGCAUUAAGUAUCCCACCUGGGAAGUACGACCGCAAGGUUGAAACUCAAAGGAAUUGACGG
This 578-nucleotide ribosomal RNA is filed under the name uncultured bacterium. Its description in RNAcentral is "bacterial SSU rRNA". It matches the Rfam family "Bacterial small subunit ribosomal RNA", at positions 338 to 916 of the family's 1533-position model. The record is from RNAcentral.